AACGCACAUUGCGCCCUCUGGUAUUCCGGAGGGCAUGCCUGUCCGAGCGUCAUUAUCCCCCCUCAAGCCCUAGCUUGGUGUUGGACCUCUGGUCGUUCUGACCGGUCCCAAAGAUAAUGACGGCGUCCCCAGGACUCCUUGGUGCAACGAGUUACCACGUAACACGCACCGCAGGUGGCCUGGAGACCUGUCCCAACCUCCACAAUUUUCAAGGUUGACCUCGGAUCAGGUAGGGAUACCCGCUGAACUUAA
This 252-nucleotide unclassified non-coding RNA is filed under the name uncultured fungus. Its description in RNAcentral is "partial contains 5.8S ribosomal RNA, internal transcribed spacer 2, and large subunit ribosomal RNA". The stretch from base 1 to 52 matches the Rfam family "5.8S ribosomal RNA", at positions 103 to 154 of the family's 154-position model. Lineage: Eukaryota; Fungi. The record is from RNAcentral.